RNAcentral lists this ribosomal RNA (433 nucleotides) under uncultured bacterium. RNAcentral's name for it is "partial 16S ribosomal RNA". It matches the Rfam family "Bacterial small subunit ribosomal RNA", at positions 29 to 507 of the family's 1533-position model. The record is from RNAcentral.
AACGAACGCUGGCGGCAUGCCUAACACAUGCAAGUCGAACGAGACCUUCGGGUCUAGUGGCGCACGGGUGCGUAACGCGUGGGAACCUGCCCUUAGGUUCGGAAUAACUCCCCGAAAGGGGUGCUAAUACCGGAUAAUGUCUUCGGACCAAAGAUUUAUCGCCUUUGGAUGGGCCCGCGUUGGAUUAGCUAGUUGGUAGGGUAAAAGCCUACCAAGGCGACGAUCCAUAGCUGGUCUGAGAGGAGGAUCAGCCACACUGGGACUGAGACACGGCCCAGAAUCCUACGGGAGGCAGCAGUGGGGAAUAUUGGACAAUGGGCGAAAGCCUGAUCCAGCAAUGCCGCGUGAGUGAUGAAGGCCUUAGGGUUGUAAAGCUCUUUUACCCGGGAUGAUAAUGACAGUACCGGGAGAAUAAGCUCCGGCUAACUCCGUG